GUCUGUGGCCACACCACCCUGAACUCACCCAAUCUCAUCUGAUCUCAGAAGCUAAGCAGGGUCAGCCCUGGUUAGUACUUGGAUGGGAGUAACAUUCAUGGUUAUCAUUAGUG
This is a ribosomal RNA of Ovis aries (sheep), 113 nucleotides long. The record is from Rfam. NCBI's taxonomy places the organism in Eukaryota, Metazoa, Chordata, Mammalia, Artiodactyla, Bovidae.